Molecule: long non-coding RNA, 546 nt
Organism: Hyla sarda
Lineage: Eukaryota; Metazoa; Chordata; Amphibia; Anura; Hylidae
Exons: 4
Source: RefSeq, a predicted model, not a curated record
UUUAAAUCAACUGGUGCCAGAAAGUUAAACAGAUUUGUAAAUGAAAUACAUAAAGAAGCACGUACGUGCACUCACCACAUAGCAGAGACAGUCAGGUGCGAAGAUACGGUGACGGGGUGAAGGAUCUCGGCAUCGGCGCUGGCGUGUGGCGCUCGGAGGCUACAAUGGCAGUUUCGCACAAUGUGUAUCCAUACAUCCCACUUAAAUAUACUGCGCAAAGAUAUAAUACUCUGAAGCAGCCAAUUGUAAGAACAAACAAGUGACUUCAAAGCUACCUAAGAUUUCUGUGUUUGUGAUGUCGAUUUCCGGUGCUGAAUAAUAAUUUGCCGUGUAGCUGUUGUGGUCGUCUGGGAGUUGACAGUUCUUCACAGCUUCUUCCAACUCUGAAUCUAUAGAUGAGCUGUCCGUCUGCAAAAGAACAAGAAGAGAAUUCAUGGCACAGCGGAAGUUUGCUUUCCAAGUUUUUGGAUCGGGUUCCUUCUCGCCAACUUUGAACUUUCCUGCAGGAAUGAAUAACAAAUACUUCAAAUGGCUGAAUAAAUACUU